RNAcentral lists this small nuclear RNA (103 nucleotides) under Ophiophagus hannah (king cobra). Lineage: Eukaryota; Metazoa; Chordata; Lepidosauria; Squamata; Elapidae. The record is from RNAcentral.
AGCAUUUGGCAGGACAUAUACCAAAACUGGAAUUACACAAAGAAGAUUAGCAGGGCUUCUGUGCAAGAAUGGCAUGCAAUUUGGGGAAGCAAUCCCAGAAUAC